Molecule: ribosomal RNA, 590 nt
Filed under: uncultured bacterium
Lineage: Bacteria
Description: bacterial SSU rRNA
Rfam family: Bacterial small subunit ribosomal RNA
Source: RNAcentral
CCUACGGGAGGCAGCAGUGGGGAAUUUUGGACAAUGGGCGCAAGCCUGAUCCAGCAAUGCCGCGUGAGUGAAGAAGGCCUUCGGGUUGUAAAGCUCUUUUGUCAGGGAAGAAACGGUGGGAGCUAAUAUCUCCUGCUAAUGACGGUACCUGAAGAAUAAGCACCGGCUAACUACGUGCCAGCAGCCGCGGUAAUACGUAGGGUGCAAGCGUUAAUCGGAAUUACUGGGCGUAAAGCGUGCGCAGGCGGUUUUGUAAGACUGUCGUGAAAUCCCCGGGCUCAACCUGGGAAUGGCGAUGGUGACUGCAAGGCUAGAGUUUGGCAGAGGGGGGUAGAAUUCCACGUGUAGCAGUGAAAUGCGUAGAUAUGUGGAGGAACACCGAUGGCGAAGGCAGCCCCCUGGGUCAAAACUGACGCUCAUGCACGAAAGCGUGGGGAGCAAACAGGAUUAGAUACCCUGGUAGUCCACGCCCUAAACGAUGUCUACUAGUUGUCGGGUCUUAAUUGACUUGGUAACGCAGCUAACGCGUGAAGUAGACCGCCGUGGGGAGUAACGGUCGCAAGNUUAAAACCGUUCAAAUGAAUUGACGG